AUUGAACGCUGGCGGCAGGCCUAACACAUGCAAGUCGAACGAGUGGCGGACGGGUGAGUAAUGUCUGGGAAACUGCCUGAUGGAGGGGGAUAACUACUGGAAACGGUAGCUAAUACCGCAUACCAUCGGAUGUGCCCAGAUGGGAUUAGCUAGUAGGUGGGGUAAAGGCUCACCUAGGCGACGAUCCCUAGCUGGUCUGAGAGGAUGACCAGCCACACUUGAACUGAGACACGGUCCAGAGUCCUACGGGAGGCAGAAGUGGGGAAUAUGUCACAAUGGGCGCAAGCCUGAGACAGCCAGGCCGCGUGUGUGAAGAAGGCCUUCGGGUUGUAAAGCACUUUCAGCGGGGAGGCGUUACCCGCAGAAGAAGCACCGGCUAACUCCGUGCCAGCAGCCGCGGUAAUAC
This 406-nucleotide ribosomal RNA is filed under the name uncultured bacterium. RNAcentral describes it as "partial 16S ribosomal RNA". It matches the Rfam family "Bacterial small subunit ribosomal RNA", at positions 30 to 526 of the family's 1533-position model. The record is from RNAcentral.